RNAcentral lists this long non-coding RNA (611 nucleotides) under Homo sapiens (human). Its description in RNAcentral is "long independently transcribed non-coding RNA 1985 (LINC01985)". The record is from RNAcentral. Lineage: Eukaryota; Metazoa; Chordata; Mammalia; Primates; Hominidae.
GAGUUUGGUUCUCCCUUCUUUGUCAAUUCCCCUGUCUCCUGAAUGUCUCAUUCUCAAACUAAUUUUGCUUGAAAUUGUGGCUGGAGAUGGUAUGUUUGAAACUUAAUAUGAUGAACAUAGAACAGGAAGAUUUCAACACCUUUUUAGCAAAAGAUGUUCACAUAAACCUGAAAUGAAUAUAGCCAAAGAGGACGUGGUCUUUCAGCACCUCCAGCUAAAAAAUGCUGCAGAGGAACUUCCUGUAUUAAGUACAGAUGGGGUUUCACCAUGUUCGCCAGGAUGGUCUCGAUCUCCUGACCUCGUGAUCUGUCCACCUCUGCCUCCCAAAGUGCUGAGAUUACAGGUGUGAGCCACCACUCCCAGCCUUUGUCAUCAUUUCAGAUAGGGUGAAGGAAUGGUUUAAGUCGCCUCCAAGGUAUCUUGUUGGGGGUGAGGGGUACAGAGGGGUCUUACUGAAUGGUGAUGAAAAAGGGGACACAAGCGAAAAAUCAACAUUGGAGAAAAGAUAACUAAACCCUGGGAAGCUUAAGGAACAAAGUGUAACAAAACAACAUGGAUUGUUUUAUAAAAUACUUUGAGAUAUCCAGGAUUAAAAGUAUGAUAAAAAAUAA